Dromaius novaehollandiae (emu) is the source of this 2515-nucleotide long non-coding RNA. RefSeq lists it as uncharacterized. The transcript has 4 exons. Lineage: Eukaryota; Metazoa; Chordata; Aves; Casuariiformes; Dromaiidae. The record is from RefSeq and is a predicted model, not a curated record.
GAAAAGACUGUAGAGAACAACAAAAAAUGGGGCUGGAGGUAGGGUUUGGGGAGUUGGAUUUUCUUGUUUUGUUUUGUUUUUAUAAUAUCAUUCCUGCAUGGCUGGUUAUUAUUCUUUGGCACAUCUCAGUAUGUUUCAGUACCAGGAGGUGGCACUGGCAAUCACAGGGAUCCGUAGCAGACCUGACGGGAAUACCGCCUGCAGAAGAAUGGGAGACAGCCUCUCUCUAGCCAAUAUUCUGAACUGAGUCCCAGCAAAGCUCAUCAAACUGUUAUCAGGUCAGAUGUAUUUAAUUCUUCCAAAAUACUUCUUCAAAAGAUUUGAUGUUCCCUGAGAAGGCAGAAGUUUACGUUGGAGUUACAAAUUUAAGGGAUGUCAUACAGGAGGAAUAAUUAAAUUGCUGUGAUGUUGAACAAAAAUACUAGAAAAGCUGCUAACAAAUUGCCAAAGCAUUAAUAAUGGCAUUUGGAGUAAGCUUGUUUUAUGUUCUCUCCUGUCAAAAGAGUUUUUUGAUGGAUAUUGGAGAAUUUAGGUCAAGCUACAAUAAAAGCAGACUUUGAAGAAAGUUUAUCAGCAAUUUGAAGACCCUCAUUAUUUUGUGGGUUCCAGACUCUGGAAUGAGCUUAGUGUGAGCUGUUGCCUGAAAUCAUGGAUGACUGAUGGACUGGUCAUUACUUUAUAUUAUCCCUUUUCCUCCUUUCUCAUUUAACACACAAAAAGCAUUGAUUUGCCUUCUCCAUUUUUAUCAGAGACUUGAUGCGUCAUUAAGCCCCUGUUUAAAAGCCAAAAUAAAUAUUUCAAGUGUCUAGCACCCACAGUAAAGACCAUGACCAGGAAGGGUCUGCGGUGAGGCUUGUGAGGAACUCUGAAAGUGCCUGCCAACGUUUUCCUCAAUCAAAACUAUGUAAAAUAUUUGAGAGGGGAAGGCUGACAUUUGAAUUAAGAGUUGUUGAGCAUUAAGUGUUUUUGAGACUGAAGAUCUGGCAGCAUAUAAGGUGAACUGAAUAGCAGCUUAUCUGUUUGGCUGGAAUUCCCGGACUAACAAGUCAGUUGUCCAGGAAGCCGACUGAUUGCUGAGGGAGAAGUGGGUCUGGAAAAAAAAAUACAUAUUUUUUUUUUUUUACUGAGGAUGCUUUCACAGGUGCCCUUCUAUUUUGCUGAUUAUUCCCAAACAGUUUUUUUCCCCCAUCUACGUACAAGGCUCACCUCUUGCCAGUGUUUUGCUCCUGAAGGGCCACUUUCUGAUUAGAUAUCAGGGAGGGGCCAAAAAAAACCCAUUCAGAUUGUCCGUUGCUGGCUGGCCUUCUUGUCCUGCGCUCCUCACCAGAAACAAAUUCUGUUUCACCUGCAGCCAGUUCACAGAUUUUGCCCAGGCUGAUUUUAUUCACUGGAACAGUUAAGGCAUUCACAAAUAAUAAAGAAUAACAGUGAAACACCAAUUGAAAUAACAAAUCUUUCCCUCAGCUGGUUUUAUUUGAAAAUUCUGAAAUUGUUUCUCCAUAAAUUGAGCUCCUUAUUGAAGAAAACAUUUCUUAAGCAAAAAGAAGUGUCACAGGGCAUGACAAGGAACUUACAUUUUAAGUCCAUGCUGGAAGAAGGGCAUAGGUGCAAAGUACUAGUCUGUGUAAAUUCUCUAUAGAAAAGUGUUCUGUAAUUUCAUAAGGAUGGAAUGAAAAGAAACUUAGAGAAAAUUAGCUAAAGAGGACUUAAUAGAUUGCAAAAUAUUUGUAAGAAUUUUUUCAGCCAUCUCAUGGCAUUCAGUUAUGAUGCUAUACAAUGCUUAACUUCCAUAUGCAGAAAAUACUACUCUUGAGAAUGAUACUUUGAUUUCUAUGCCUUAUUUCCACAUGGGCUGGGCAGCUUCAUUGUGGCCAAACCUGCCACACGAGAUCAAGUUGAUAUGUCAGCCAUAGCUUAAACGGUUGUCAGGAACAGUGAAGGAAUGAUGGGGGAACCCCUGACUCUUCAUUCAAAAACUGCUUGUAUAUAGAGGAAUGAUUCCUCGGAGACUUAACACUUGCUGUUAGAAAUGAUACGACUUUUUUAAUAUGAAGCUCACAUCUUUGUACACAGAUUCUUUUCUCAAGAUAAAGAUCUUUUGGCCUUGAGUGCAGGAAGUUUCUCCUGUCACCUAAUGAGGAAGCUUAAAGUAUACAUGAAUACAGUCAUGCCCCUGGAAUUAAAACAAAAAAAGAAUCCAAGAGAUGGGAUCCUGAUUCAAGAAAGUACCUAGCUACCUGCACAGGUGCUUGCCUGAAAUAGCUUUGCUAUGCUAUGAGGAAAAAGUUGGGGUUUUUGGAUGGCCAUACUAAAACGUGAAAAGCAUUGUUUUGAAGUACUGCUGGCUUUUCCUACAGUUCAUCACAAAUCUUGUUAGGAAAUCAAGAAAGGAAACUGGGCGACCACGCUGUUCAGCCACAAGGAAAUGCACAAUGAGCAUAAUGAAGCCAGCAGCUGCAGGACAAUGGGAACAGAGUGGGGCUAUUUUUGUUAGAUGUGAACAAUCAAUUGAACG